GGGCAGUAAUACACGCAGUUCGACGGGGCGCGCAGGCUGAGGCUUUUCGGAGCGGAAGCCUGCGCUGCCCAGUGGCGGACGGGUGAGUAACGCGUGGGCAACCUGCCCUGCACUGGGGGACAACAGCCGGAAACGGCUGCUAAUACCGCAUAUGCCCGCAGCCCCGCAUGGGGCGGCGGGGGAAGCUCCGGCGGUGCAGGAUGGGCCCGCGUCUGAUUAGCUGGUUGGCGGGGCAACGGCCCACCAAGGCGACGAUCAGUAGCCGGCCUGAGAGGGUGGACGGCCACAUUGGGACUGAGACACGGCCCAAACUCCUACGGGAGGCAGCAGUGGGGAAUAUUGGACAAUGGGGGGAACCCUGAUCCAGCGACGCCGCGUGAGUGAAGAAGUAUUUCGGUAUGUAAAGCUCUAUCAGCAGGGAAGAAAGAAAUGACGGUACCUGACUAAGAAGCCCCGGCUAACUACGUGCCAGCAGCCGCGGUAAUACGUAGGGGGCAAGCGUUAUCCGGAUUUACUGGGUGUAAAGGGAGCGUAGACGGUUACGCAAGUCUGGAGUGAAAGGCGGGGGCCCAACCCCCGGACUGCUUUGGAAACUGUAUAACUGGAGUGCANGAGAGGUAAGUGGAAUUCCUAGUGUAGCGGUGAAAUGCGUAGAUAUUANGAAGAACACCAGUGGCGAAAGCGGCUUACUGGACUGUAACUGACGUUGAGGCUCGAAAGCGUGGGGAGCAAACAGGAUAAAUACCCUGGUUAUCCACGCCUAAAAAAUGAUCCUAAGUGUCGGUGGGGAUGGGCCCCCCCGUGCCGCCGCAAAUGCAUUAAGUGAUUCCCCGGGGGAAUAACGUUCCCA
This 850-nucleotide ribosomal RNA is filed under the name uncultured bacterium. RNAcentral describes it as "bacterial SSU rRNA". It matches the Rfam family "Bacterial small subunit ribosomal RNA", at positions 44 to 891 of the family's 1533-position model. The record is from RNAcentral.